This is a long non-coding RNA of Sebastes umbrosus (honeycomb rockfish), 253 nucleotides long. RefSeq lists it as uncharacterized. NCBI's taxonomy places the organism in Eukaryota, Metazoa, Chordata, Actinopteri, Perciformes, Sebastidae. The record is from RefSeq and is a predicted model, not a curated record. The transcript has 5 exons.
UGGAGAGAGUGUCUGUCAGUCUCUGCUUUUUCUGGCCGAUUGGAAACCGUGACCCGCCAUCGGAGGGCCCCCCGCCGGCCGGCCUCGUGCCGGUGUUCGGGCGGUGGGCUCCUCCGCCACUGCGGGUUCGCCUCUAGGGCCGGGAGGGCCCGCGCAGGGGUGACCGUGUGUCCCCCUGCGCUCCUCCCUGGUCCGGCCGAUGUGCAGCGAGACCGAGACGCCCCGUCUGCCCUAGCCGUCCUACGACGGAGCC